UCUCGGCUUAUCACCGGCAGUCCCCCUAGAGUGCCCAACCGAAUGAUGGCAACUAAGAUCAAGGGUUGCGCUCGUUGCGGGACUUAACCCAACAUCUCACGACACGAGCUGACGACAGCCAUGCAGCACCUGUGUUCCCGUUCCCUUUCGGGCACAGCCCCGUUUCCGGAGCCUCCAGGACAUGUCAAGGGUAGGUAAGGUUUUUCGCGUUGCAUCGAAUUAAUCCACAUAAUCCACCGCUUGUGCGGGUCCCCGUCAAUUCCUUUGAGUUUUAACCUUGCGGCCGUACUCCCCAGGCGGGGCGCUUAAUGCGUUAGCUGCGGCACGGAACCCAUGGAAUAGGCCCCACACCUAGCGCCCAACGUUUACGGUGUGGACUAC
Molecule: unclassified non-coding RNA, 381 nt
Filed under: uncultured bacterium
Lineage: Bacteria
Description: contains 16S-23S intergenic spacer region
Source: RNAcentral